AUAAUCUGAUCAAACAUUAUUCAGCUUUAAAUAUUGUUCAGCUUUAAAGUUACUGUGCAACUGUGUAAUAAAAAUGUGUGCUCACGACUUUGGCCUUGAGAGCGAUAAGAAGCGAUCGCCUCAUCCUGCAGGCGAAAGAUAUCUGCAAGCGAAGAACACCCAAGGCCGCUUUCCUUUUAUGGAGUUGUUUUUCUGCUAAUGCAGCACUUUCCUCACAACCCCCUCCUGUAAGUUUUAGAGAAUAUAUACCCAUCCUCACAGCAAAUAUGAGGAAUCUCUUGAUGUGAGCUGUUUUUGAGAGGUUGUCUCUGUCUCAAUAAAAGUUCACUGAUUCCCCCAUCUGCUGCAGGUGUCCGGUUGUCUUCAUUCUCCGCCAGCCUGGAUCCGCUCCAGGUCAACUGGAACGGGGGGGAGGACAUCGGCCGUGGUUUGAGUGAACGGAGUUUGGACAAAAGCUGUGUGCACACAAAAACAAGGUAAGCAGACCUUUUAUUUCUGCUAUAUUGAACAUUAUAAAAAUACUUAGUGUCCAAACUCCUAGUAAUUCAUAACCAAAAUUGUCUGGCUUACUUAAGGCUUGUUGAGAAUCAGACAAGUGAAUAAGAGAUAAGUGAAUAAGAAAUAAGUGAAUAAGUGAAUAAAGAUAAGAGUGAACUGAGGUCUGACCACGGUUGCAGCCGACGGGUUGCUCUCCGGUGUCGGAUAAAUACCUCAGUGCAGGUCUGGGACCUUGAAAGGGUUUAUUAGUAACGCCUUUCUAAACAAAUUAAAAGGUUAAAGGCCUUGAGAAUAUUUUUUAGUAAUAUUCUCUAAACUACAGAAGGGUUAGGAAGGCCCAGAGGACUUUAUUAGAAAAGAUCCUCUAAAACUUAAAAAGGAGAAGUACUGGUUGGAGUCCAAAGGAGGGGUCCCUUUGAUCAAUAGGAGAAAACGGAUCUCUUCUUAAAACCCCGAUGAUUUUAGUGUUUUAAAUGUUUUGAUGUUCUGUUUGAUAUUGGACACACAUAAAUACACGCUGAAUGCUUGCUGUGGAACACUGGGCAGGACAGUUUGGUUCUCCGUUGUUCACAGAUUACACAAUUAAAGGAACUAGGUUCCUCUUUUGGUUAAAAUAAUACACCACACAUAGAAUUUUUUUACACAUUUAUUACAUACAUAAGGAGGGUAAUGAGUGACUGCAGGUAAUGUAUGAAGUGUGAAUGAGACGUGUGAACAAGGUGACAACCAACUAGCACCCCUAUCAGGAAGCUCUAGGCAAGGUUACCCGCCAGACUCCGGUUUGGUAGAAGCCUGGUAACACCUGAAGGGAUAUUUCAGUGCUGACUCACCUUUAAAGCAGCGCCCCAGCUGUUAGUGCCUAACAGAGGCAGAAACCCAGCUGGCCCAAAUUCUCCUUUAAAAUCAAUAAAUAGAACAUAAAUUACCGGUGUGUGUAAAUAAGUUGUAUAAAUCUGUUAGAUCUGAAACUCCUGCUAAAAAACUUCCUCUCUACAACUCUUUUCUCUUCUCUCCCUCUUUCUCUCAGUUGGGAUUCUGUGUGUGUAUGUGUGCUGGAGAAAUAAAAAAAAAGGAAAAGGGUCUCUCUCUCUGUCUCUGUGAGAGGAAAAAGGUGGGGGCCGAGUGAGCCCGCGGGGCCGAGCGGGUCCGCGGGAGCGAGCGUGUAUGCUGUAUGAGGAAGAAGGGAGUGAGAGGGAGCGAGUGAAAAGAGUAAUCGAGUAUUUGGUGAUUUUUUUUAUUAUUUCAGAGGCACUGGGUAAGAGUUUUGACUUUAGCUGUGAGAGUUGUGAAAAGAGCAGGUUUUUCUUUUGUUGUAGACUGUGAGUAAUCGGUGUUUUUCUGCCUAUUGUGCUGCGUGGAAGACACAGAAGUGUAGAAAUGUUUGUGGUUUAUCUUUGUUUGACGUUUUAUAUAGAGUUGGUUGAUUCAGGGUGAUUUCUCCCGUUUAAGGGAGGAGUUGCAUUGUGGUUAUGUUAAAGCUUUGCUGUAG
Molecule: long non-coding RNA, 1987 nt
Organism: Maylandia zebra (zebra mbuna)
Lineage: Eukaryota; Metazoa; Chordata; Actinopteri; Cichliformes; Cichlidae
Source: RefSeq, a predicted model, not a curated record